This is a non-coding RNA of Ricinus communis (castor bean), 106 nucleotides long. Lineage: Eukaryota; Viridiplantae; Streptophyta; Magnoliopsida; Malpighiales; Euphorbiaceae. The record is from Rfam.
AAUCCGUGAUGCAGGCAACAUUGAAGCAAAUCCUUGUACCUGUCCUAGGCAUCAUACAUACUCUCGUCAUCGAAUUGCACAAAAAAAGAGAAGUCAUUUCGUAAUU